AAACGAUUUUCGGAUAAAAAUUAAUUUUCCGUUGUUGUUUAUUCGAUAUAAAAUAAAGGGAUAAUUGUCGAUAUACCCCUUAUACGUUUGAAAAUAUUUGGUUUAUUCCAACUUUUUUGUUCUAAAAUACUCCUCAUAUGUUUCACCGUUGUUGCAAAAUAAAAAAUAUUGGUGACGGUCGAAUGGUAUAUUUGAAAAAGACCAAAAGUCAAAAUACUUUUUGUGCCCCUGAUUUUAAGGGCAAAUAAGAAAAGUCGGUGAUGAUAGAAGGGUAUAUUUGAAAGGGCAAAAUAGUAAUUUCACAGAGAUAACAGAGUUUAUUAACAGAUUUUAACUCUAGAAAUAUAUUAGAAAUAGAUUGGAAUAUAAAAAAUGUAUUUUCAAUAUUAAUCUUCUAAAAAAGAUAAAUUAGAAAGUCGGAAACCUUUCAGAAUUAUAUAAGUAAUUGCUUCUAAAAUAAAAGUAUUACGGUGCAUAAGAGGAUGAAAAAAAAUUAAGAAGUAAAAUUUUUUUUUAUCAAUUUC
This 524-nucleotide long non-coding RNA is filed under the name Ananas comosus (pineapple). RNAcentral's name for it is "long non-coding RNA (ACOM_LNC014264)". The record is from RNAcentral. Lineage: Eukaryota; Viridiplantae; Streptophyta; Magnoliopsida; Poales; Bromeliaceae.